Molecule: ribosomal RNA, 154 nt
Filed under: Prunus persica (peach)
Lineage: Eukaryota; Viridiplantae; Streptophyta; Magnoliopsida; Rosales; Rosaceae
Description: rRNA 5_8S_rRNA
Rfam family: 5.8S ribosomal RNA
About the family: 5.8S ribosomal RNA (5.8S rRNA) is a component of the large subunit of the eukaryotic ribosome. It is transcribed by RNA polymerase I as part of the 45S precursor that also contains 18S and 28S rRNA. Functionally, it is thought that 5.8S rRNA may be involved in ribosome translocation.
Source: RNAcentral
GACUCUCGGCAACGGAUAUCUCGGCUCUCGCAUCGAUGAAGAACGUAGCGAAAUGCGAUACUUGGUGUGAAUGCAGAUCCCGUGACCAUCGAGUCUUUGAACGCAAGUUGCGCCCGAAGCCACUAGGCCGAGGGCACGCCUGCGCUGGGCGUCA